UUUUAAAUUCCAUUGCCUUGAUGCCUACUGGAAACACAAAAAUAUACACACUUUUUUAUGCCCUUUUUAACUCAAAUUCAUGCAAAUUCAUAGUAUUUCGUGUCGAAAAAUAUAUAAUGAUUAUAAAAUAAUUAAAUUGUACUUAAAUUAUUAACAUUAUAAUAAAUUCUAGUUAAUUUUGAUCAUUUUUGACAGAUUUGCACAAAGGGCGAAAAUUGACUCGACAGACACUAUUAGAAGCACAAAACCGAGAAGUGAUUUUUGAAGCAUCAAUGCGA
RNAcentral lists this long non-coding RNA (278 nucleotides) under Gossypium raimondii (Peruvian cotton). Its description in RNAcentral is "long non-coding RNA (GRAI_LNC007453)". Lineage: Eukaryota; Viridiplantae; Streptophyta; Magnoliopsida; Malvales; Malvaceae. The record is from RNAcentral.